UUUUGAGCCAAACUCCACUGAUAAGCCUGGCUUCCUUAGGGGCAGCAUUUCUCAGGCAAACAAGUUUAGAAGUCAUUUGGGAAGAAAUAUUUCUUUCCUCUGACAUGAGCGGCUAGGUGGAAAAGAUGAGUACACAUUUGCUUUGGGAGCAAGAAGUGCUGAGCUUAAUGCCUAUCAUCUCUUAGAGAUGAUGAUGUAUUAUAUAUAUCCAUAAAAUCACUGUAGCUGCUUGCUUUUUCCAGGGGGUCAGAGUACACACUCUUUAUCUUCAAAUGUCUGUUUUUUAGUCUGGCUAUAUCUUGAAAUCUGUUUUGAAUACAGCUCAGAUAGGAAGGCUUUUGUUAAGCACGUAGUGACUCACCUUCAAGCACAACAGAACACCAGGACAGCAGCCUGACCUUUGUAGUAAAAUUAAUUUGAUGCUUAUAAUCUAACCUAGAGUCCAUAGCUUUUAUUUAUAUGACAGAGUCACAAGACAAAUUAGCAGGGAUUAUUAAAUUCCACUUAAGCUCAUUAGAGGAGAAUUGAGGUUGAUGAAUUUCAGGAUACUGGUGAGUUGGCCAAAAACAUGGGAAAGGAAAGGAAUAUAGACUUCUAGGAAUAAAGUGAAAGAGGCUACCCUUAGUGCACAGUGGGCACUCAGUGAGAAGUGAUACAGUGAAUGAGGCAAGGGUAAGACAAAUGUGAUGUCUGACACCCAGGAAGCCCCUUUCCUACCUCCCACUGAUGCAUCUUCAAUCCCUAUGAGCUUCUCACACAGGGAAGCCAUUUGGCAAGUGCCAGAGACCCCAGCAUGAAGCUGGAAGGUGAGUGGGUUAAUGAUGGUAUCAGGCAUGUCAGCCUGUAUUCCCCUUCCCAUUUGAGCUGGUGGUAGGAUGUCUGGAGCAGAAGACUGCUAAUGAGAAAUGAAGAGAGUCAAAUGGAUACCAACAAACUAAGAAGAUGGCUAAGAGAUGGCUGAGAACUUCAAAGAGGAGAAUUUCUAUUGGGUUUCCAGAAAGUUUCUCCAACAGCAGUCCCAACUCCAGCAGGACCCAGGAGGAGAACUGAACAUUUUCCAGUCUGGAGGUUCUCUGGAGGUUCUCCUGUACAACAGGAAGUAUGAUGACAUUGUACCUUUCCAAGACAUACUUAACGCUAGUAUGAUUCUCUAAAUGGUUAUCAGUACUUAUAUGAAUAAUUAACUGGGUACCUGCGAUAUAUCCUCUGCUGGGUUGUAAGAACUUUGAGGGCAGGGUGGUACCUUAUAUACUGUUAACUAUGCUCUGGAAUAUGACCUAGUGAAUGGACAAGCAGUGGAGUUUUAUUUCCUUCAAUUUGCUGACAGCACUGUAAUGCCUGACAAUAAUUGUGGCGCACACUAUUUACUGGUUAUUUUUUUAAAGUAAAAAUGCUUUCCCCAACUUUUAUACAGAUUUUCAAGUUCAUCUUGCUAAUAUUUUCUAAAUUAAUUUCUUCUUUCACUAACUGAUCUUAGCCUACAUAAGAGCAUUAAACUCUAAUCGGGGUUCUCUGGUUAGCCGGUUGGUUCUGUCUAUAAAAACGAUCUCAAGUCACAGGAAUAAGAUCAGGGGAAUUAGGGAUGAUACGCAAAGUAUUCAAACACCAGUAUGGCAUGAGUAACCAAAUAGAACCUCACCACUGGAAUCAGAUCAGAUCAGAUCAGAUCAGUCGCUCAGUCGUGUCCGACUCUUUGCGUCCCCAGGGCCCAGGAAAUCCCUUGUUGUGCCAGAGGUCAACUUAUUAUUGCUAGACUGUGGGAAGCCUGGAGGAUACCAGAAGGGUCAGGCAGUCAUUUAGGAGGUAUCUGAACAGUGAUUAUCUAUUAGCAGGAAUGGCUGGUGAUCACUUACGGGCACCUGACAAUACCUAUUUACCAACUGGAACAGAAGCUUUUGAAUAUUUUAAAACUAGUAUGCCCAGCUAGUGCACACUGGCUGAAUAUCAGUCAGGAGGUUGUGGACUACCUUCACUGGGGCAUGCAGCAUAAUAAGCAGAUAGUCCUACCCACAGCUGCAGUCUUCUGAAGUAAUCUGUUUUAAUGUUCCAGGAAACCAUUGUGAUAAAAGUUACUCCUUAUGUUAAGCCACAAUACAAAAAAAAAAAACACACACAAAAACCCUUUCUAUAGAAAUAUUCAUUUAUGUCCUCUUAUUCUGUUUUAUGAACUUCUAAUCACUUUUUAUGUGUUAAACAU
This 2197-nucleotide long non-coding RNA is filed under the name Bos grunniens (domestic yak). Its description in RNAcentral is "lncRNA (ENSBGRG00000025675.1)". The record is from RNAcentral. Lineage: Eukaryota; Metazoa; Chordata; Mammalia; Artiodactyla; Bovidae.